This 301-nucleotide ribosomal RNA is filed under the name uncultured bacterium. RNAcentral describes it as "partial 16S ribosomal RNA". It matches the Rfam family "Bacterial small subunit ribosomal RNA", at positions 509 to 807 of the family's 1533-position model. The record is from RNAcentral.
CAGCCGCCGCGGGAAUACAGAGGGUGCGAGCGUUAAUCGGAUUUACUGGGCGUAAAGCGUGCGUAGGCGGCUUCUUAAGUCGGAUGUGAAAUCCCUGAGCUUAACUUAGGAAUUGCAUUCGAUACUGGGAAGCUAGAGUUUGGGAGAGGAUGGUAGAAUUCCAGGUGUAGCGGUGAAAUGCGUAGAGAUCUGGAGGAAUACCGAUGGCGAAGGCAGCCAUCUGGCCUAAUACUGACGCUGAGGUACGAAAGCAUGGGGAGCAAACAGGAUUAGAUACCCGGGUAGUCCCUGUCUCUUAUAC